GGGUAGCGUGGAGUCUGGUGGAAAGCCCUGUAGGGCGUGUGCGAGUCUGCGGCCGGAGGAAGUUGGUCCCACUCGGAGGGCGUGCGGCGCAGAGGCUGAGGGCGAAGAGGAACUUGCGCACCCGGGCGCGAUCCUCGGCCGAGGCGGGGAGGGCGAGGUGCCGCUGCGCCGCGGGGCCCGCGCUCGGAGCAGGCGGGCGGCUGCGCUGCAGAGCCUCCGCCAACUAGGGGGCUCGGGGCGGCGGCGACGUGCUCCUGCUGUUGACCAAGCAAGCCCCGGGGCGCCGUGUGCGGAGUAGGGCGGCUCGAGGCACGCGUGGUCCCGACGGGCUUCCCGCCGCCUGCACUCUCGAGUGGGCACGUCCCCGGGUCCCUGAGACGGCUGAGCCUGGCCGCGUGUAGGCCGAAGCCGGGGCGAGGCUUAAUUUGCAGUUAAUGAAUCUUUUCCAGAAAGUCCGCGAUCUCCAGCCAGAGGCUCGUGACCCACAGCCAAGGGUGAGGGAAGUCACUUUUGAAGAACUUUUCCUUGGAGGUUAAAAAAAAAAGAAGAAGAAGAAAUCAGCAGGAUCCAGUACUGAGCCUUGCCCCUCCUCCUCUUGUUUCUUCACGGCCAGCCCCCCGCCCCGCCCCGCCCCCACUCCCGUGACACUGGACCACGCUCGGGGCCUCAACCCUCCAUCUGAACCUGUGCACUCAGGUGCUCAGAGGUCCUUGUCCCAAGGUGACAACUAAAGGAGACAUGUAAGAGGCAGCUUGUGUCUGGAGGCUGCAAGUGC
Long non-coding RNA from Mesoplodon densirostris (Blainville's beaked whale), 775 nucleotides. RefSeq lists it as uncharacterized. The record is from RefSeq and is a predicted model, not a curated record. The transcript is spliced from 5 exons. NCBI's taxonomy places the organism in Eukaryota, Metazoa, Chordata, Mammalia, Artiodactyla, Ziphiidae.